CUCCAGACUCCUACGGGAGGCAGCAGUGAGGAAUAUUGGUCAAUGGGCGGGAGCCUGAACCAGCCAAGCCGCGUGAAGGAAGAAGGCGCCAGGCGUCGUAAACUUCUUUUGUCGGGGAACAAAGGGCGCCACGUGUGGCGUUGUGAGUGUACCCGAAGAAAAAGCAUCGGCUAACUCCGUGCCAGCAGCCGCGGUAAUACGUAGGGGGCAAGCGUUAUCCGGAUUUACUGGGUGUAAAGGGAGCGUAGACGGCUGCGCAAGUCAGAAGUGAAAGCCCGGGGCUCAACCGCGGGACUGCUUUUGAAACUGUGUAGCUAGAGUGCAGGAGAGGUAAGUGGAAUUCCUAGUGUAGCGGUGAAAUGCGUAGAUAUUAGGAGGAACACCGGUGGCGAAGGCGGCUUACUGGACUGUAACUGACGUUGAGGCUCGAAAGCGUGGGGAGCAAACAGGAUUAGAUACCCUAGUAGG
Molecule: ribosomal RNA, 468 nt
Filed under: uncultured bacterium
Lineage: Bacteria
Description: bacterial SSU rRNA
Rfam family: Bacterial small subunit ribosomal RNA
Source: RNAcentral